RNAcentral lists this ribosomal RNA (612 nucleotides) under Nepaloserica sp. BMNH 670896. RNAcentral's name for it is "partial 16S large subunit ribosomal RNA". It matches the Rfam family "Bacterial large subunit ribosomal RNA", at positions 1844 to 2752 of the family's 2925-position model. The record is from RNAcentral. Lineage: Eukaryota; Metazoa; Arthropoda; Insecta; Coleoptera; Scarabaeidae.
UUUAAAGUCUAAUCUGCCCCAUGAGGAAUUAAAUGGCCGCGGUAUUUUGACCGUGCAAAGGUAGCAUAAUAAUUAGUUUUUUAAUUGAAAGCUGGAAUGAAUGAUUGGACGAGAAAAUAGCUGUCUCGAUUUAAUUUAAUUAGAAUUUUAUUUUUAAGUAAAAAAGCUUAAAUAGUAUUAAAAGACGAGAAGACCCUAUAGAGUUUUAUAGUUAAUUAUCUAUUAAUUUUUUAGAAUUAUUUUAUUAGUAGAUAAUUAAUUAUUUUAUUGGGGUGAUAGAAAAAUUGAAUAAACUUUUUUUAAUUUUUAUACAUUAAUUUAUGAUUUUAUGAUCCAUUAUUUAUGAUUAGAAGAUUAAGUUACCUUAGGGAUAACAGCGUAAUUUUUUUUAAGAGUUCCUAUCGAAAAAAAAGAUUGCGACCUCGAUGUUGGAUUAAAAUUAAUUUAAGGUGUAGAAGCUUUAUUGUUAGGUCUGUUCGACCUUUAAAAUUUUACAUGAUCUGAGUUUAAACCGGCGUGAGCCAGGUUGGUUUCUAUCUUUAAUUUAUUAAAAUAUUUUAGUACGAAAGGACCAAAUAUUUGUAAAAAUUAUUUAUUUUUGAAUAAUAUUAG